AUUGUUUGCUGUGUUGCCCAGGCUGGAGUGCAGUGGCUAUUCACAGGCGUGAUCCCACUGCUGAUCAGCAUGGGAGUUUUGACCUGCUCCAUUUCCAACCUGGACCAGUUCACCUCUCCUUAGGCAACCUGGUGGUCCCCUGCUCCCAGGAGGUCACCAUACUGAUGCCGAACUUAGUGCGGACACCCAAUAGACACAGUGCAUUGCAGCUCAGAACUCCUGGGCUCUAG
RNAcentral lists this long non-coding RNA (230 nucleotides) under Homo sapiens (human). Its description in RNAcentral is "non-protein coding lnc-ATF7IP2-7:1". Lineage: Eukaryota; Metazoa; Chordata; Mammalia; Primates; Hominidae. The record is from RNAcentral.